UACGAAGGGGGCUAGCGUUGCUCGGAAUCACUGGGCGUAAAGGGUGCGUAGGCGGGUCUUUAAGUCAGGGGUGAAAUCCUGGAGCUCAACUCCAGAACUGCCUUUGAUACUGAGGAUCUUGAGUUCGGGAGAGGUGAGUGGAACUGCGAGUGUAGAGGUGAAAUUCGUAGAUAUUCGCAAGAACACCAGUGGCGAAGGCGGCUCACUGGCCCGAUACUGACGCUGAGGAGCGAAAGUGUGGGGAGCGAACAGG
RNAcentral lists this ribosomal RNA (253 nucleotides) under uncultured bacterium. Its description in RNAcentral is "partial 16S ribosomal RNA". It matches the Rfam family "Bacterial small subunit ribosomal RNA", at positions 524 to 776 of the family's 1533-position model. The record is from RNAcentral.